AUAAACCUGACAAAACUUGGCGCGUAAGUUUCUUUAGCCUUCCACUGAUCCAAUUAUUGUGAAUAAUGUAGCAUCCUUUUUUUAAACAUGUUGCUUUGACGGUUUUAUCUUGCCACAGGUUUUGGUAUGCGCCAUUUGGAAAAAGGUUUCUGUCUAAGAAAUGUACUGUCACAUUUGUUUCAGGUUCUACACAUUUGUUAUCACUGACACGGUUGGAUCCUCCUUUUCCACAUAAUAUGUCAUAGAAGCUUGGUUGUUCAGAUAAGCCUGAAGUUUCUGCAUGUUUCACCACUUUAUCUAUGGCUGCAAUUGUUUGAUUAUCAGAAUGAGCAUAAUAGAAGCCAGAGUUCAAACGUCUAGGUAGGUUUAUUGGUCCUGCAUAAAUGAAACAAUUGCAAAACAAUCAUUGUAGAAAGGAACCAAAAGAGAAGAAAAUUUCCUUACAGAUUAUUUGAAUUUGUUCUAUGACAUAGCACUUAUUUUUAGUGGUGAGACAUAAAUACUUGCAUAGUGUUUGAGAUAGUUCAUGACAUGUUCAUAUGUUGUUUUCAGAUUAUGUUAAUGAGUAUUUCAAGAUAGCUUAUGAAAACACUUAAUAUAUAUAGUUAACUUAUGCUCUUAAUUGGGCGAGAAUAUGAUUUUCAAUUGUGAGAUGCAGGAAUAAUUACCUUGUUCUUGGUAUUCAUCAGACUGUGCAACAAGAACUGCAUGACCAAAGGAGUUUAGGAAGGGAAUAGGGUUUCUGAAC
This 748-nucleotide long non-coding RNA is filed under the name Medicago truncatula (barrel medic). RNAcentral describes it as "long non-coding RNA (MTRU_LNC006392)". The record is from RNAcentral. Lineage: Eukaryota; Viridiplantae; Streptophyta; Magnoliopsida; Fabales; Fabaceae.